GAUCAUGGCUCAGGAUGAACGCUAGCGAUAGGCUUAACACAUGCAAGUCGAGGGGCAGCAUGAGGUAGCAAUACCUUGAUGGCGACUGGCGCACGGGUGAGUAACGCGUAUGCAACCUGCCCGAUACCGGGGUAUAGCCCAUGGAAACGUGGAUUAACACCCCAUAGUACUUUUAUCCUGCAUGGGAUGUGAGUUAAAUGUUCAAGGUAUCGGAUGGGCAUGCGUCCUA
This 229-nucleotide ribosomal RNA is filed under the name uncultured bacterium. RNAcentral describes it as "partial 16S ribosomal RNA". It matches the Rfam family "Bacterial small subunit ribosomal RNA", at positions 15 to 240 of the family's 1533-position model. The record is from RNAcentral.